AGCAGCCGCGGUAAUUCCAGCUCCAAUAGCGUAUAUUAAAGUUGUUGCAGUUAAAAAGCUCGUAGUUGAAUUUCGGGAUCAAGGAAUCGGUCAUGCCUCGGUAUGUACUGGUUUUAUUGGUUCUCACCUUCUAAAGAACCAUGAUGUCAUUCAUUUGAUGUUAUGGGGAAUUAGGACUGUUACCUUGAAAAAAUUAGAGUGUUUAAAGCAGGCUUACGCUUGAAUACAUUAGCAUGGAAUAAUGAAAUAGGACAUCAGAUUCUAUUUUGUUGGUUUCUAGGAUCGAUGUAAUGAUUAAUAGGGAUAGUUGGGGGCAUUAGUAUUCAAUUGUCAGAGGUGAAAUUCUUGGAUUUAUUGAAGACUAACUACUGCGAAAGCAUUUGCCAAGGAUGUUUUCAUUAAUCAAGAACGAAAGUUAGGGGAUCGAAGACGAUCAGAUACCGUCGUAGUCUUAACCAUAAACUAUGCCGACUAGGGAUCGGAUGAUGUUUAUUUUUUCAAUGACUCAUUCGGCGCCUUA
RNAcentral lists this unclassified non-coding RNA (520 nucleotides) under uncultured Glomus. RNAcentral's name for it is "SSU rRNA". It matches the Rfam family "Eukaryotic small subunit ribosomal RNA", at positions 569 to 1090 of the family's 1831-position model. The record is from RNAcentral. Lineage: Eukaryota; Fungi; Glomeromycota; Glomeromycetes; Glomerales; Glomeraceae.